ACUCGCUAAACUCCUCCAUGUGGAUUCUGAUAUCCUUUCCCAGUUUGUUGUCUCAUCCACAUGUCCCAUUAACCUCUUGGGUGCUGAUGUCCUAUCCCGCCUCCAAGCAUCCAUCACCCUCACUGCAGACGGCCAGGUUCAAGUAAAUACACCUUUGUCACGAAAAGACACUACAGUUCUUUGUUCCCUUCCCAUUUUACUUGGAGAUGACAUCCCCACGACAGAAAAAUGUUCUCUGGACCUCCUUUGUUAUCUUGCAGAUCAGGGGUGUAAGGCAUCUCUUGUCAAACUUCAAUUUUGCCAGGCCACAGUAAUCUUUCUAGGCCAUUGCCUGUCCCAUGGCACUAGACACCUCACCCGUGAUCGUGUCGGAGCGGUUUUGGCCAUUCCGCCUCCAAAAACUCCAAAAUCCCUCCACGCCUUUCUAGGCCUCAUUUCUUACUGCCGAGCAUGGAUCCCAGAGGCCUCUCUACUCAUGCAACCUUUGUACGAUGCUCUUAAAUCAGACCCG
Non-coding RNA from Pelobates cultripes (western spadefoot toad), 511 nucleotides. NCBI's taxonomy places the organism in Eukaryota, Metazoa, Chordata, Amphibia, Anura, Pelobatidae. The record is from the annotation of a GenBank genome assembly.